AAGGGAUCAAAGAUUCAUAAAAGAGUUAUACACUGCAUAAAGCAGCUGCAAAGAGGAUACUAAAUAGCUACCUGGUGAAGACACAAGAUAGAAAAGGACAAACAAACAUGUAUGUGUACAUUACAUACAUUAAGCCAUAAGUAUACCUGCGGAUAUAUUAAAAGACAUGAAACAGAAGUGAGAAAAUGUCAACAUCAGUCAUCUAUGAAUGAAGAUGGAGAUCAAGUCUAUAUUCUAAAAUUUCUGAGGAAAAUGGUGUUGUCUGGCUCAUCCAAUGAUCACUCCAUUUGCAGACUACCAGCCAGGUUCCAAUCUGAAGUAUACAUAGGAAGAGCAAAAUCUUUUUCAUUCAUAUAAACACUUACUAGCUGUGAUCCAGAAGAAUG
Molecule: long non-coding RNA, 386 nt
Organism: Saccostrea cuccullata (small rock oyster)
Lineage: Eukaryota; Metazoa; Mollusca; Bivalvia; Ostreida; Ostreidae
Exons: 4
Source: RefSeq, a predicted model, not a curated record